Molecule: transfer RNA, 67 nt
Filed under: Bacteroides fluxus
Lineage: Bacteria; Pseudomonadati; Bacteroidota; Bacteroidia; Bacteroidales; Bacteroidaceae
Rfam family: tRNA
About the family: Transfer RNA (tRNA) molecules are approximately 80 nucleotides in length. Their secondary structure includes four short double-helical elements and three loops (D, anti-codon, and T loops).
Source: RNAcentral
GAGGUAGCUCAGUUGGUUAGAGCAACAGACUCAUAAUCUGGAGGUCCCUGGUUCAAGCCCAGGCUGG